UGCAGUGGUAUGAUCCUAGUUCAUUGCAGACUUGGACUCCUGGACUCAAGUGAUCCUCUUGCUUCAGCCUCAUGAAUAGCUAGGACUGCACUUGUGUGCCACAAUAUUUGGCUAAUUUAAAAAAUUUUUUGUAGAGACAAGAUCUUGCUACAUUGCCCAGGUUGGUCAUGAACUCCUCGCCUCAAGCACUCCUCUUGCCUCAGCCUUCCAAAGUGCUGGUAUUAUAGUUGUGAGCCACUGUGCUCCACCAAGUCACUUUUAAUAUUGAGGUUCUGAUCCCUGUGUGUGGAGAGAUUGAGAAUAGAAUCAGGCACUAUCACCAUAAGUUGAGGGAGUGGCUUUUGUGGAGGUGGUCUCUUGAGUUUUUUUCUGCCUCAGUGGGGAUGGCAGGAUGACAAGUUGGCCUAAUUAGUCACAUUGGCCUAAUUUGUAUUGGCCCCUGAGUCAUUCGGGGAAAGAAAGACCUGUAGCCUGGAUGUCAGGCAUGUUUGUGGGUCCAGAGCUCACCUUGAAGAAGGGGAUAGUUGGUGUGAGAUCUGUAUGUUUAUGGACAGAAAACGUUGGGUUCCUUGUUCCCAGGAAUGUUCCAGAACUUCCAGCGACGGUCAGAAGGAGCUGUUUUCAGAUUCAGCUCAGAAUCCAUAUUCUCCAAGAUCUGGAACAUGGAGAUUUCACAGCCCCCAUAUUCUGGAUAAUUCACUCAAAGCUUGAGAGUUAGAGAUGAGGGAAUCAACAUAGGCAUCAAAGAGAAGACAGAUGCCAACACUAGCAUGGAGGAAAGAUUACAGCUGAUCUGGAGGUAUGAUUGGGAGAGGUUGAAAAGACUUUCAGGGGUGUCCCUGAUGAGGGAGGGCACAAGCAAAGGCCCAGGGGAAAGGAACUGCCCAGUAGAUCCCAGAAAAGGGCUACCAUUGGAUAUAACAGAGUGCAAAAUAACAGGGUAGACAGUAUACUGCAUCAACGGGUGGAAGACAACUGCCUUUUGGGUUGAGCAUAGUCUGAAAGCAAUGGAACCAUUGAAUCCCACAAAAGCUGGUAAUCUGCACAGCCCAAAGGUCAGAGCCAUCAGGACUUUGCCUGGAAUAUUCUGGCAUUAUUGGCAAACAUCUCCCUUCCCCUAACAGGUUGGCUGCUGUACACUGAGCCCCAGUGGGAGAUCAGAAGGCAGGUUCAGCAGAAAUACAUAGGACUCUACUCAUGUAUUGGGAACCAUUUUAUUUUUCCCUUUUUAGAGACAAGGUCUCAUUCUGUUGCUCAGGCUGGAGUACAGUGGUACAAACGUAGCUAGCUCACGGCAGUCUUUAAGUCCUGGGAUCCAGUGAUCCUCCUGCCUCAGUCUCCCAAAUAGCUGGGAACAGACAUGCUACCAUCAUGCCCAGCACCACUUUAUGAGAUCUAAUCUUGGCCACUCACACAGAGGAUUGAGCUCUGAUGACAUGUCUACCCUAACUUUAUUUGCUUAGAAGCCCCCAUGUGAGUCAGCUGGCCUUAUAAUUCUGAUCCCACACGAGUCUUCCAUAUUGGAGACAUACUCAGGAAGGCAAGCCUGAGCAACGUAGGGAUCCCGCAUACACCUCACUGUGCUGGGGAGUACUUGAGAAGCCCUGCUGUAAUCUCUGCUGACUGCAAAACUGUUGUGGCUUCUGCUCAUGAUGUAGUUAUCAUUGUCCAUCCCCUCAGGGGCUUCCAAGAGAGGUGGCAGCUGCAGUGGCCUCUGAUCUGUCAUAUAGUAUGGAUGGACACCACAGGCCAAAGAGCUUCAUGUCAGAGGAUUUCUGGUCUUUUCUCCCCUAGGCCUCAGGAGGACCCAGGGAAAUAUACAAAGCCAACUUAUAGUUUUUGGUGAACUGAGUUUUAUUGAAAUGUUUUUGGAAAUGAUUUUCAACAUUUACGAAAUCAGAUGCCACAUAAAAAUCCAAAUAUUUGGCUCUUCUUGCAAAACCACUAAGACUCCACCAUAUUGUUUCCCCACCCCUUUAGAGGGGCAGACCUGCUUCGUGGCCACCAUAAGUGGAAUUAUGAAGGCCCUGGCCAUGUGACUCUCUAGAAACCCUGGCUACUCACAUAAGCCACUCUAGACCAUGAUUUCUGUCUUCUCUGUCUUGAGGUUCCUACCUGUGCAGUGAUGGCCAUGAGAUGAACAGCCCAGAGAGUCCACAGGAAUCCACAAAACAUUUAUCUGGAUUUCAGUUAUGAGUGACAGGGCUCCUGGGCAACAG
Cebus imitator (Panamanian white-faced capuchin) is the source of this 2219-nucleotide long non-coding RNA. RefSeq lists it as uncharacterized. The record is from RefSeq and is a predicted model, not a curated record. The transcript has 4 exons. Lineage: Eukaryota; Metazoa; Chordata; Mammalia; Primates; Cebidae.